UUACACAUGCAAGUCGAGCGGAAAGGCCCUUCGGGGUACUCGAGCGGCGAACGGGUGAGUAACACGUGAGUAACCUGCCCCUGACUCUGGGAUAAGCCUGGGAAACCGGGUCUAAUACCGGAUACGACCAUUUCUCGCAUGGGAUGGUGGUGGAAAGUUUUUUCGGUUGGGGAUGGGCUCGCGGCCUAUCAGCUUGUUGGUGGGGUGAUGGCCUACCAAGGCGACGACGGGUAGCCGGCCUGAGAGGGCGACCGGCCACACUGGGACUGAGACACGGCCCAGACUCCUACGGGAGGCAGCAGUGGGGAAUAUUGCGCAAUGGGCGGAAGCCUGACGCAGCGACGCCGCGUGGGGGAUGACGGCCUUCGGGUUGUAAACCUCUUUCAGCAGGGACGAAGUUGACGUGUACCUGUAGAAGAAGCGCCGGCUAACUACGUGCCAGCAGCCGCGGUAAUACGUAGGGCGCGAGCGUUGUCCGGAAUUAUUGGGCGUAAAGAGCUCGUAGGUGGCUUGUUGCGUCUGCCGUGAAAGCCCGUGGCUUAACUACGGGUCUGCGGUGGAUACGGGCAGGCUAGAGGCUGGUAGGGGCAAGCGGAAUUCCUGGUGUAGCGGUGAAAUGCGCAGAUAUCAGGAGGAACACCGGUGGCGAAGGCGGCUUGCUGGGCCAGUUCUGACGCUGAGGAGCGAAAGCGUGGGGAGCGAACAGGAUUAGAUACCCUGGUAGUCCACGCUGUAAACGUUGGGCGCUAGGUGUGGGGGUCUUCCACGAUUCCUGUGCCGUAGCUAACGCAUUAAGCGCC
This 800-nucleotide ribosomal RNA is filed under the name Microbispora sp. S16-26. RNAcentral describes it as "bacterial SSU rRNA". It matches the Rfam family "Bacterial small subunit ribosomal RNA", at positions 49 to 868 of the family's 1533-position model. The record is from RNAcentral. Lineage: Bacteria; Bacillati; Actinomycetota; Actinomycetes; Streptosporangiales; Streptosporangiaceae.